This 496-nucleotide ribosomal RNA is filed under the name uncultured bacterium. RNAcentral describes it as "partial 16S ribosomal RNA". It matches the Rfam family "Bacterial small subunit ribosomal RNA", at positions 28 to 506 of the family's 1533-position model. The record is from RNAcentral.
GAUGAACGCUGGCGGCGUGCCUAAUACAUGCAAGUCGAGCGAACAGACGAGGAGCUUGCUCCUCUGACGUUAGCGGCGGACGGGUGAGUAACACGUGGAUAACCUACCUAUAAGACUGGGAUAACUUCGGGAAACCGGAGCUAAUACCGGAUAAUAUAUUGAACCGCAUGGUUCAAUAGUGAAAGACGGUUUUGCUGUCACUUAUAGAUGGAUCCGCGCCGCAUUAGCUAGUUGGUAAGGUAACGGCUUACCAAGGCGACGAUGCGUAGCCGACCUGAGAGGGUGAUCGGCCACACUGGAACUGAGACACGGUCCAGACUCCUACGGGAGGCAGCAGUAGGGAAUCUUCCGCAAUGGGCGAAAGCCUGACGGAGCAACGCCGCGUGAGUGAUGAAGGCCUUCGGAUCGUAAAACUCUGUUAUUAGGGAAGAACAAAUGUGUAAGUAACUAUGCACGUCUUGACGGUACCUAAUCAGAAAGCCACGGCUAACUACGU